This 244-nucleotide long non-coding RNA is filed under the name Ananas comosus (pineapple). Its description in RNAcentral is "long non-coding RNA (ACOM_LNC008305)". Lineage: Eukaryota; Viridiplantae; Streptophyta; Magnoliopsida; Poales; Bromeliaceae. The record is from RNAcentral.
AAUAGAGUAUUAUAUUAUAGUGUAGCUUUUUUUUUUUCAAUUUUUUUUUUUUUUUUGAGAGAGAGAUAGGUAGCACGCUACCUUUUCGUUUAUUUUAUUUCAUUUAAAAAUAAACUUAGCUGAAAAUAUAAAUCAACUAGAAUUCGAACUUGGGUCUCAAGUACCAACCACCAAGUCUUUUGUCACUUGCUCUAGGAACCGUCGAUUAUAUUAUAGUGUAGUUAAUUCGGAAAAAGUCACAUGU